This 87-nucleotide transfer RNA is filed under the name Oscillospiraceae bacterium. RNAcentral describes it as "tRNA-Leu". It matches the Rfam family "tRNA". Rfam says of the family: Transfer RNA (tRNA) molecules are approximately 80 nucleotides in length. Their secondary structure includes four short double-helical elements and three loops (D, anti-codon, and T loops). Lineage: Bacteria; Bacillati; Bacillota; Clostridia; Eubacteriales; Oscillospiraceae. The record is from RNAcentral.
GCCGCUGUGGUGGAAUAGGCAGACACAAGGGACUUAAAAUCCCUCGGAGUAAAAUCCGUGCCGGUUCAAGUCCGGCCAGCGGCACCA